Molecule: long non-coding RNA, 348 nt
Filed under: Elaeis guineensis (African oil palm)
Lineage: Eukaryota; Viridiplantae; Streptophyta; Magnoliopsida; Arecales; Arecaceae
Description: long non-coding RNA (EGUI_LNC073160)
Source: RNAcentral
UUCCUCAUUAGAAGUUGCUCAUCAAUUAUUUCAUCUGCUUCUACUAUGGCAUUGAUAGAGUGGAUGGAUUUCUGAGUACAUUGGUGGCCAAUAUGAUACUUCUCCCCAUAUAUGUAGCAUAAGCCUGCUGCCUUUCUUUGUUCCCAUUACGGCCUUCCAGCUCCUUGAGGUAAGUUUGCGAUUCUAGUACUCUGGGGCUUGUGGACUUCCCCUUGGACAGCAAAUCUGAAAGCAUGAUGCCCAAUAAGUUGUGAGGGAAUUGUUUUAUUGGUCACUUUACUUUUCCUCCACAUUACUGCCAGUGUUUGUUCAUGUAAUUUAGCCUGUACAUAUACUUUUGUCAAUGUG